Molecule: unclassified non-coding RNA, 251 nt
Organism: Mesocricetus auratus (golden hamster)
Lineage: Eukaryota; Metazoa; Chordata; Mammalia; Rodentia; Cricetidae
Gene: 7SK
Rfam family: 7SK RNA
About the family: 7SK was discovered as an abundant small nuclear RNA in the mid-70s but a possible function has only recently been suggested. Two independent studies have found that 7SK RNA binds the CDK9/cyclin T complex (known as elongation factor P-TEFb).
Source: Ensembl
GGAUGUGAGGGUGAUCUGGCUGCAACAUCUGUCACCCACUGAUCAGCCAGUGUCCCCUUCCUCCCUCACUGCUCCAUGUGCCUCCCUCUCGAAGUUGCGUGCUCAGUAGAAGAGGACGACCUUCCCCAAAUAGAGGACUGGUCUUCGGUCAAGGGGAUACGAGUAGCUGCGCUCCCGUGCUAGAACCUCCAAACAAGCUCUCACAAUUUUAGUGAGUUAAUGAGAAAAGUUAUUCACAGUAUUAAAGAUAG